This 440-nucleotide ribosomal RNA is filed under the name uncultured bacterium. RNAcentral's name for it is "partial 16S ribosomal RNA". It matches the Rfam family "Bacterial small subunit ribosomal RNA", at positions 338 to 795 of the family's 1533-position model. The record is from RNAcentral.
CCUACGGGAGGCAGCAGUAGGGAAUAUUGCUCAAUGGGGGAAACUCUGAAGCAGCAACGCCGCGUGGAGGAUGAAGGUUUUCGGAUUGUAAACUCCUUUUGUUAGAGAAGAUAAUGACGGUAUCUAACGAAUAAGCACCGGCUAACUCCGUGCCAGCAGCCGCGGUAAUACGGAGGGUGCAAGCGUUACUCGGAAUCACUGGGCGUAAAGAGCGCGUAGGCGGGAUAGCAAGUCAGAUGUGAAAUCCUAUGGCUUAACCAUAGAACUGCAUUUGAAACUGUUAGUCUAGAGUAUGGGAGAGGUAGGUGGAAUUCUUGGUGUAGGGGUAAAAUCCGUAGAGAUCAAGAGGAAUACUCAUUGCGAAGGCGACCUGCUAGAACAUAACUGACGCUGAUGCGCGAAAGCGUGGGGAGCAAACAGGAUUAGAUACCCCAGUAGUC